GAUGAACGCUGGCGGCGUGCCUAAUACAUGCAAGUCGAGCGAACAGACGAGGAGCUUGCUCCUCUGACGCUAGCGGCGGACGGGUGAGUAACGCGUGGAUAACCUACCUAUAAGACUGGGAUAACUUCGGGAAACCGGAGCUAAUACCGGAUAAUAUAUUGAACCGCAUGGUUCAAUAGUGAAAGACGGUUUUGCUGUCACUUAUAGAUGGAUCCGCGCCGCAUUAGCUAGUUGGUAAGGUAACGGCUUACCAAGGCAACGAUGCGUAGCCGACCUGAGAGGGUGAUCGGCCACACUGGAACUGAGACACGGUCCAGACUCCUACGGGAGGCAGCAGUAGGGAAUCUUCCGCAAUGGGCGAAAGCCUGACGGAGCAACGCCGCGUGAGUGAUGAAGGUCUUCGGAUCGUAAAACUCUGUUAUUAGGGAAGAACAAAUGUGUAAGUAACUAUGCACGUCUUGACGGUACCUAAUCAGAAAGCCACGGCUAACUACGUG
This 497-nucleotide ribosomal RNA is filed under the name uncultured bacterium. RNAcentral describes it as "partial 16S ribosomal RNA". It matches the Rfam family "Bacterial small subunit ribosomal RNA", at positions 28 to 507 of the family's 1533-position model. The record is from RNAcentral.